CUUCCCCUUAUAAACUAUCAGUGGAAUGAACGCUAAAGCAGAGAGAAUUGAGCAUCUUAUACAAGUCAUCAACAGAAACUUACUUCUAAUAUACAAUGGUCAAAUCG
This 107-nucleotide non-coding RNA is filed under the name Paraphysomonas bandaiensis. Lineage: Eukaryota; Chrysophyceae; Chromulinales; Paraphysomonadaceae. The record is from RNAcentral.